AUAGCUGGUUCUCUCCGAAAUAGCUUUAGGGCUAGCCUCAAGUGAUGAUUAUUGGAGGUAGAGCACUGUUUGGACGAGGGGCCCCUCUCGGGUUACCGAAUUCAGACAAACUCCGAAUGCCAAUUAAUUUAACUUGGGAGUCAGAACAUGGGUGAUAAGGUCCGUGUUCGAAAGGGAAACAGCCCAGACCACCAGCUAAGGUCCCAAAAUAUAUGUUAAGUGGAAAAGGAUGUGGCGUUGCCCAGACAACUAGGAUGUUGGCUUAGAAGCAGCCAUCAUUUAAAGAGUGCGUAAUAGCUCACUAGUCGAGUGACACUGCGCCGAAAAUGUACCGGGGCUAAACAUAUUACCGAAGCUGUGGAUUGUCCUUUGGACAAUGGUAGGAGAGCGUUCUAAGGGCGUUGAAGCAUGAUCGUAAGGACAUGUGGAGCGCUUAGAAGUGAGAAUGCCGGUGUGAGUAGCGAAAGACGGGUGAGAAUCCCGUCCACCGAUUGACUAAGGUUUCCAGAGGAAGGCUCGUCCGCUCUGGGUUAGUCGGGUCCUAAGCUGAGGCCGACAGGCGUAGGCGAUGGAUAACAGGUUGAUAUUCCUGUACCACCUAUAAUCGUUUUAAUCGAUGGGGGGACGCAGUAGGAUAGGCGAAGCGUGCGAUUGGAUUGCACGUCUAAGCAGUAAGGCUGAGUAUUAGGCAAAUCCGGUAAUCGUUAAGGCUGAGCUGUGAUGGGGAGAAGACAUUGAGUCUUCGAGUCGUUGAUUUCACACUGCCGAGAAAAGCCUCUAGAUAGAAAAUAGGUGCCCGUACCGCAAACCGACACAGGUAGUCAAGAUGAGAAUUCUAAGGUGAGCGAGCGAACUCUCGUUAAGGAACUCGGCAAAAUGACCCCGUAACUCGGGAGAAGGGGUGCUCUUUAGGGUUAACGCCCAGAAGAGCCGCAGUGAAUAGGCCCAAGCGACUGUUUAUCAAAAACACAGGUCUCUGCUAAACCGUAAGGUGAUGUAUAGGGGCUGACGCCUGCCCGGUGCUGGAAGGUUAAGAGGAGUGGUUAGCUUCUGCGAAGCUACGAAUCGAAGCCCCAGUAAACGGCGGCCGUAACUAUAACGGUCCUAAGGUAGCGAAAUUCCUUGUCGGGUAAGUUCCGACCCGCACGAAAGGCGUAACGAUUUGGGCACUGUCUCAACGAGAGACUCGGUGAAAUCAUAGUACCUGUGAAGAUGCAGGUUACCCGCGACAGGACGGAAAGACCCCGUGGAGCUUUACUGUAGCCUGAUAUUGAAAUUCGGCACAGCUUGUACAGGAUAGGUAGGAGCCUUUGAAACGUGAGCGCUAGCUUACGUGGAGGCGCUGGUGGGAUACUACCCUAGCUGUGUUGGCUUUCUAACCCGCACCACUUAUCGUGGUGGGAGACAGUGUCAGGCGGGCAGUUUGACUGGGGCGGUCGCCUCCUAAAAGGUAACGGAGGCGCUCAAAGGUUCCCUCAGAAUGGUUGGAAAUCAUUCAUAGAGUGUAAAGGCAUAAGGGAGCUUGACUGCGAGACCUACAAGUCGAGCAGGGUCGAAAGACGGACUUAGUGAUCCGGUGGUUCCGCAUGGAAGGGCCAUCGCUCAACGGAUAAAAGCUACCCCGGGGAUAACAGGCUUAUCUCCCCCAAGAGUUCACAUCGACGGGGAGGUUUGGCACCUCGAUGUCGGCUCAUCGCAUCCUGGGGCUGUAGUCGGUCCCAAGGGUUGGGCUGUUCGCCCAUUAAAGCGGUACGCGAGCUGGGUUCAGAACGUCGUGAGACAGUUCGGUCCCUAUCCGUCGUGGGCGUAGGAAAUUUGAGAGGAGCUGUCCUUAGUACGAGAGGACCGGGAUGGACAUACCUCUGGUGUACCAGUUGUCGUGCCAACGGCAUAGCUGGGUAGCUAUGUGUGGACGGGAUAAGUGCUGAAAGCAUCUAAGCAUGAAGCCCCCCUCAAGAUGAGAUUUCCCAACUUCGGUUAUAAGAUCCCUCAAAGAUGAUGAGGUUAAUAGGUUCGAGGUGGAAGCAUGGUGACAUGUGGAGCUGACGAAUACUAAUCGAUCGAAGACUUAAUCAAAA
Molecule: ribosomal RNA, 2078 nt
Filed under: Staphylococcus aureus
Lineage: Bacteria; Bacillati; Bacillota; Bacilli; Caryophanales; Staphylococcaceae
Description: partial 23S ribosomal RNA
Rfam family: Bacterial large subunit ribosomal RNA
Source: RNAcentral